Molecule: ribosomal RNA, 446 nt
Filed under: uncultured bacterium
Lineage: Bacteria
Description: partial 16S ribosomal RNA
Rfam family: Bacterial small subunit ribosomal RNA
Source: RNAcentral
CCUACGGGUGGCUGCAGUCGAGAAUCAUUCACAAUGGGGGAAACCCUGAUGGUGCGACGCCGCGUGGGGGAAUGAAGGUCUUCGGAUUGUAAACCCCUGUCAUGUGGGAGCAAAUUAAAAAGAUAGUACCACAAGAGGAAGAGACGGCUAACUCUGUGCCAGCAGCCGCGGUAAUACAGAGGUCUCAAGCGUUGUUCGGAACCACUGGGCGUAAGGCGUGCGUAGGCUGUUUCGUAAGUCGUGUGUGAAAGGCGCGGGCUCAACCCGCGGACGGCACAUGAUACUGCGAGACUAGAGUAAUGGAGGGGGAACCGGAAUUCUCGGUGUAGCAGUGAAAUGCGUAGAUAUCGAGAGGAACACUCGUGGCGAAGGCGGGUUCCUGGACAUUAACUGACGCGGAGGCACGAAGGCCAGGGGAGCGAAAGGGAUUAGAUACCCGGGUAGUC